Candidatus Wildermuthbacteria bacterium is the source of this 82-nucleotide non-coding RNA. The record is from Rfam. Lineage: Bacteria; Candidatus Wildermuthiibacteriota.
GCCGGGAUGGCGAAACUGGGAAACGCGCUGGCCCUAGGAGCCAGUGGGGAAACCCUUGAGAGUUCGACUCUCUCUCCCGGCA